AGUGAACGCUGGCGGUAGGCCUAACACAUGCAAGUCGAACGGCAGCACAGUAAGAGCUUGCUCUUACGGGUGGCGAGUGGCGGACGGGUGAGGAAUACAUCGGAAUCUACUUUUUCGUGGGGGAUAACGUAGGGAAACUUACGCUAAUACCGCAUACGACCUACGGGUGAAAGCAGGGGAUCUUCGUACCUUGCGCGAUUGAAUGAGCCGAUGUCGGAUUAGCUAGUUGGCGGGGUAAAGGCCCACCAAGGCGACGAUCCGUAGCUGGUCUGAGAGGAUGAUCAGCCACACUGGAAAUGAGACACGGUCCAGACUCCUACGGGAGGCAGCAGUGGGGAAUAUUGGACAAAGGGCGCAAGCCUGAUCCAGCCAUACCGCGUGGGUGAAGAAGGCCUUCGGGUUGUAAAGCCCUGUUGUUGGGAAAGAAAAGCAGCAGGUUAAUACCCCGCUGUUCUGACGGUACCCAAAGAAUAAGCACCGGCUAACUUCGUG
RNAcentral lists this ribosomal RNA (492 nucleotides) under uncultured bacterium. RNAcentral's name for it is "partial 16S ribosomal RNA". It matches the Rfam family "Bacterial small subunit ribosomal RNA", at positions 29 to 507 of the family's 1533-position model. The record is from RNAcentral.